GAUGAAUGCUGGCGGCGUGCUUAACACAUGCAAGUCGAGCGAGAGAGUCUCUUCGGAGACAAUCUAGCGGCGGACGGGUGAGUAACACGUGGGCAACCUGCCUUGUAGAAGGGGAUAGCCCUCCGAAAGGAGGAUUAAUACCCUAUAUUAUCACACUGAGGCACCUCAGAGUGAUGAAAGGAGUAAUCCGCUACAAGAUGGGCCCGCGGCGCAUUAGCUAGUUGGUGAGGUAACGGCUCACCAAGGCGACGAUGCGUAGCCGACCUGAGAGGGUGAUCGGCCACAUUGGGACUGAGACACGGCCCAGACUCCUACGGGAGGCAGCAGUGGGGAAUAUUGCACAAUGGGGGAAACCCUGAUGCAGCAACGCCGCGUGAGUGGUGAAGGUUUUCGGAUCGUAAAGCUCUGUCUUCAGGGACGAUAAUGACGGUACCUGAGGAGGAAGCCACGGCUAACUACGUGCCAGCAGCCGCCGUAA
Molecule: ribosomal RNA, 478 nt
Filed under: uncultured bacterium
Lineage: Bacteria
Description: partial 16S ribosomal RNA
Rfam family: Bacterial small subunit ribosomal RNA
Source: RNAcentral